RNAcentral lists this non-coding RNA (20 nucleotides) under Arabidopsis thaliana (thale cress). The record is from RNAcentral. Lineage: Eukaryota; Viridiplantae; Streptophyta; Magnoliopsida; Brassicales; Brassicaceae.
UUGAGUUCAGCUGUUGCCUU